AGGUCGCUAGGAUAGUGGUAGUCUGCUCGCCUCCAAAUCGAGUGGUGGGGGUUCGAUUCCUCCGCGUCCUGCCA
RNAcentral lists this transfer RNA (74 nucleotides) under uncultured archaeon. Its description in RNAcentral is "tRNA-Trp(cca)". It matches the Rfam family "tRNA". From Rfam's summary of the family: Transfer RNA (tRNA) molecules are approximately 80 nucleotides in length. The record is from RNAcentral.